CAAAGGAAUUGACGGGGCCCGCACAAGCGGUGGAGCAUGUGGUUAAUUCGAAGCAACGCGAAGAACCUUACCAGGUCUCGACAUCCCGAUGCUAUUUCUAGAGAUAGAAAGUUACUUCGGUACAUCGGUGACAGGUGGUGCAUGGUUGUCGUCAGCUCGUGUCGUGAGAUGUUGGGUUAAGUCCCGCAACGAGCGCAACCCCUAUUGUUAGUUGCCAUCAUUCAGUUGGGCACUCUAGCGAGACUGCCGGUAAUAAACCGGAGGAAGGUGGGGAUGACGUCAAAUCAUCAUGCCCCUUAUGACCUGGGCUACACACGUGCUACAAUGGUUGGUACAACGAGUUGCGAGUCGGUGACGGCGAGCUAAUCUCUUAAAGCCAAUCUCAGUUCGGAUUGUAGGCUGCAACUCGCCUACAUGAAGUCGGAAUCGCUAGUAAUCGCGGAUCAGCACGCCGCGGUGAAUACGUUCCCGGGCCUU
This 477-nucleotide ribosomal RNA is filed under the name uncultured Streptococcus sp. Its description in RNAcentral is "bacterial SSU rRNA". It matches the Rfam family "Bacterial small subunit ribosomal RNA", at positions 902 to 1382 of the family's 1533-position model. Lineage: Bacteria; Bacillati; Bacillota; Bacilli; Lactobacillales; Streptococcaceae. The record is from RNAcentral.